RNAcentral lists this ribosomal RNA (499 nucleotides) under uncultured bacterium. RNAcentral's name for it is "bacterial SSU rRNA". It matches the Rfam family "Bacterial small subunit ribosomal RNA", at positions 25 to 518 of the family's 1533-position model. The record is from RNAcentral.
CAGGAUGAACGCUAGCUACAGGCUUAACACAUGCAAGUCGAGGGGCAGCAUUGGAGUAGCAAUACUCAGAUGGCGACCGGCGCACGGGUGAGUAACACGUAUCCAACCUGCCGCUUACUCGGGGAUAGCCUUUCGAAAGAAAGAUUAAUACCCGAUGGUAUAAAGAGUUCGCAUGUUCUCUUUAUUAAAGAAUUUCGGUAAGCGAUGGGGAUGCGUUCCAUUAGAUUGUUGCGGGGUAACGGCCCACCAAGUCUACGAUGGAUAGGGGUUCUGAGAGGAAGGUCCCCCACAUUGGAACUGAGACACGGUCCAAACUCCUACGGGAGGCAGCAGUGAGGAAUAUUGGUCAAUGGACGAGAGUCUGAACCAGCCAAGUAGCGUGAAGGAUGACUGCCCUAUGGGUUGUAAACUUCUUUUAUAAGGGAAUAAAGUGAGGGACGUGUCCCUUUUUGUAUGUACCUUAUGAAUAAGGAUCGGCUAACUCCGUGCCAGCAGCUGC